AGUGAACGCUGGCGGUAGGCCUAACACAUGCAAGUCGAACGGCAGCACAGGAGAGCUUGCUCUCUGGGUGGCGAGUGGCGGACGGGUGAGGAAUACAUCGGAAUCUACUCUGUCGUGGGGGAUAACGUAGGGAAACUUACGCUAAUACCGCAUACGACCUACGGGUGAAAGCAGGGGACCUUCGGGCCUUGCGCGAUUGAAUGAGCCGAUGUCGUAUUAGCUAGUUGGCGGGGUAAAGGCCAACCAAGGCGACGAUCCGUAGCUGGUCUGAGAGGAUGAUCAGCCACACUGGAACUGAGACACGGUCCAGACUCCUACGGGAGGCAGCAGUGGGGAAUAUUGGACAAUGGGCGCAAGCCUGAUCCAGCCAUACCGCGUGGGUGAAGAAGGCCUUCGGGUUGUAAAGCCCUUUUGUUGGGAAAGAAAUCCAGCUGGCUAAUACCCGGUUGGGAUGACGGUACCCAAAGAAUAAGCACCGGCUAACUUCGUGCCAGCCGCCGCGGUAA
Molecule: ribosomal RNA, 506 nt
Filed under: uncultured bacterium
Lineage: Bacteria
Description: partial 16S ribosomal RNA
Rfam family: Bacterial small subunit ribosomal RNA
Source: RNAcentral